Molecule: ribosomal RNA, 422 nt
Filed under: uncultured Segetibacter sp.
Lineage: Bacteria; Pseudomonadati; Bacteroidota; Chitinophagia; Chitinophagales; Chitinophagaceae
Description: bacterial SSU rRNA
Rfam family: Bacterial small subunit ribosomal RNA
Source: RNAcentral
UAAGGAAUAUUGGUCAAUGGAGGCAACUCUGAACCAGCCAUGCCGCGUGAAGGAUGAAGGUCCUCUGGAUUGUAAACUUCUUUUAUGUGGGAAGAAACCCUUGUUUUUUAAUGAGGUUGACGGUACCAUAGGAAUAAGCACCGGCUAACUCCGUGCCAGCAGCCGCGGUAAUACGGAGGGUGCGAGCGUUAUCCGGAUUCACUGGGUUUAAAGGGUGCGUAGGUGGGAAUGUAAGUCAGUGGUGAAAUCUCUGAGCUUAACUCAGAAACUGCCAUUGAUACUAUGUUUCUUGAAUUUUCUGGAGGUCAGCGGAAUAUGUCAUGUAGCGGUGAAAUGCUUAGAUAUGACAUAGAACACCAAUUGCGAAGGCAGCUGGCUACAGGGAUAUUGACACUGAGGCACGAAAGCGUGGGGAUCAAACA